CUCCCAAAAUGGCUAGGUAAGUUAAGAUGAGUGAGGGUCUCCUUGUUACUUUCCAUAGACACCAAUAAAUUGGCUGGUUCACCAUCUAGAUACUUGCCUUAGACACCAACUUGAUUGAUUAGAAUCGAUCAUGUUAAUCUAUUGACCUAGACCCGAACUACUGAGCCAAAUUAGGUCUUGAGUCAAUCAAUUCAUAUCAAAAUGAGAAUCGAUACGACCAACUACAACUAAACUCGACUUUGAGCCCUUAGACCUAAUCCUAACCAACAAUUG
Molecule: long non-coding RNA, 273 nt
Filed under: Elaeis guineensis (African oil palm)
Lineage: Eukaryota; Viridiplantae; Streptophyta; Magnoliopsida; Arecales; Arecaceae
Description: long non-coding RNA (EGUI_LNC033081)
Source: RNAcentral